Molecule: unclassified non-coding RNA, 410 nt
Filed under: Hevea brasiliensis (rubber tree)
Lineage: Eukaryota; Viridiplantae; Streptophyta; Magnoliopsida; Malpighiales; Euphorbiaceae
Source: RNAcentral
AUAGCUCAGUUUGCUUACAACUUACACCAGACAAAAGCGCUAUGCGAUUUCUGUAAACAAACUUUCAGGAGAAACACAGUUCAGAGUACAAUUUCUGAGUUGAGUAGCCUACUCCACCAGCAAAGCCACAAUAACUGUACUUUUUAGUAUACUUAACACUGCAUGUACAUGGUGCAUUCUAUGAAGUGGAUAGAGUGAAAUCACUCGGGAGCUAAAUCAGGACGGAAAUGACUAAAAUACAUGUGCAAAAGCACUCAAGACACAAGGAAAUAGCGUUCAAGAUUUAGAUACGAGUCUGCAAGUGUGGUAAAGAAUGUACUCGUCCCAGGAAAACUCUCAGAAACUCGUGGAAACAAUGUGACACGGUAGCUGAAGAUAGAGUUUUACGUAGCACUGCAGUUGCAUUCCAA